Molecule: ribosomal RNA, 253 nt
Filed under: uncultured bacterium
Lineage: Bacteria
Description: partial 16S ribosomal RNA
Rfam family: Bacterial small subunit ribosomal RNA
Source: RNAcentral
GACAGAGGGUGCAAACGUUGUUCGGAUUUACUGGGCGUAAAGCGCGUGUAGGCGGCUUGGCAAGUCGGAUGUGAAAGCCCACGGCUCAACCGUGGAAGCGCAUCCGAAACUGCUUCGCUCGAGUCUCGGAGAGGAAGGUGGAAUGCUUGGUAUAGAGGUGAAAUUCGUAGAUAUCAAGCAGAACACCUGCGGCGAAGGCGGCCUUCUGGACGAUGACUGACGCUGAGACGCGAAAGCGUGGGGAGCAAACAGG